AAUACCCGAUGUUAUAGUCCUACCGCAUGAUGGGAUUAUUAAAGAAUUUCGGUAUGGGAUGGGGAUGCGUUCCAUUAGUUAGUUGGCGGGGUAACGGCCCACCAAGACAACGAUGGAUAGGGGUUCUGAGAGGAAGGUCCCCCACAUUGGAACUGAGACACGGUCCAAACUCCUACGGGAGGCAGCAGUGAGGAAUAUUGGUCAAUGGACGAGAGUCUGAACCAGCCAAGUAGCGUGAAGGAUGACUGCCCUAUGGGUUGUAAACUUCUUUUAUAUGGGAAUAAAACGUUCCACGUGUGGGAUUUUGUAUGUACCAUAUGAAUAAGGAUCGGCUAACUCCGUGCCAGCAGCCGCGGUAAUACGGAGGAUCCGAGCGUUAUCCGGAUUUAUUGGGUUUAAAGGGAGCGUAGGUGGAUUGUUAAGUCAGUUGUGAAAGUUUGCGGCUCAACCGUAAAAUUGCAGUUGAAACUGGCAGUCUUGAGUACAGUAGAGGUGGGCGGAAUUCGUGGUGUAGCGGUGAAAUGCUUAGAUAUCACGAAGAACUCCGAUUGCGAAGGCAGCUCACUGGACUGCAACUGACACUGAGGCUCGAAAGUGUGGGUAUCAAACAGGAUUAGAUACCCUGGUAGUCCACACAGUAAACGAUGAAUACUCGCUGUUUGCGAUAUACAGCAAGCGGCCAAGC
This 685-nucleotide ribosomal RNA is filed under the name uncultured bacterium. Its description in RNAcentral is "bacterial SSU rRNA". It matches the Rfam family "Bacterial small subunit ribosomal RNA", at positions 165 to 852 of the family's 1533-position model. The record is from RNAcentral.